UUAAACAGUAGAGUGGCUGAACUUACUUUGAGUUGAAAAGGUUCCUGGACCUAUACGGGUUUCCACGUUCGAAUAAUUCGGACCGGUAAAAAAGAGGAGCAGACAGUGAAAGUACCCAUAGAAAGACAAAAGGCCUGGGACUGGCUCUGCAAUGUGUUCAGUCGUCACUGACCCUUUAAAAUCCCUUCGAAGCAGUUAAACCGUCACUUACAUUCUAGAAUGUGAAAUAUAUAGUACAUUGUCAACUCCCCAAAACCAUAAAACUAACUUUAUGGACCCCACGUGACUUUUGAGAGCCAGUGAGGGGUAUCUCACAAUGGCCUGGGCGAUUUUUACGAUCGAACUUCGAGAUAAAAACCUCAUCCAUUUGACAUGUAAAUGUCAUAGCUACUUUUGGUAUAGUUUGGCAAAGCAAAUUUUAAACCAAAGCAACGCAAGGCAGUGCCACAGUUAGCCUACUUGGCAGAACCGCUCCUCAGCUUUUCAAAAGUAACCUGUGAAGUAUCAUUACAAGGGGGAUUAAUUGCUUGCCUAUGUGUACGUGUUCAAGUCGCAACAGAUGCAAGAAACAACAUUUGUUGUCUCGAAUCUGUAUUACUCACAUAUAUGAAGAAAACAUUGUGAAAAUAGUCUUCUGGAUAAAUGAGGAAAAAGAAUGGACAGAGAAUGGAAAACAUGGCAUAAACUGCAGCAAGGACGGACACCUAUGAGGGGGACACUUUUGAAUAGGCUAAGCUUUACCCAAAUAGAAGCGGGUCUGUCAAACAUGUCUUCAAUAACUUCCGUGAAGACUCCAUCCAUGUUCCAGUUAACUUUAUCUAUGUAAGUAGUCCAAAUGUUCAUUUUCAUGUUUCACUCUGUAAAUCUUCAUAGUUCUCGAUUGUAAGGAUUGUAUAUGUGUUCUUCAAAUUGUAUUAUUUUAAUUUUUAUUAUCUAUACUUAAAUGAAUUCUUAUUUGAUGCUUAACAUAUCAUGAAGACCUGUGUCUGUGGGCUAUACAGCAAUAUCCUGUCAAAUUAUAAAUAUGUGCAUGCAACUUGUGUUAUAUUUACAAUGUACAACAUUCUUAAUAGUUUCAUCUGUUUAAUGGACAAGAACUUUACUUGUACUUAAACAUUUAAAUGUUUGAAGCCAUUGCGUAAUGCAUUUAUUAAAAAAACGUCCAAUGGUAAGAUGUGUUGGUGGAGUUUUGUUUUGAUUGUUGUACUGGAUGAGAAUGUCUCGCAAAAGUGGGAAAAGUAUUUAGCAACAGAAAAUAAAAAUUGCCAUUGUGGA
This is a long non-coding RNA of Anguilla rostrata (American eel), 1275 nucleotides long. RefSeq lists it as uncharacterized. The transcript is spliced from 2 exons. The record is from RefSeq and is a predicted model, not a curated record. NCBI's taxonomy places the organism in Eukaryota, Metazoa, Chordata, Actinopteri, Anguilliformes, Anguillidae.